GACGAACGCUGGCGGCGUGCUUAACACAUGCAAGUCGAACGGAAAGGCCCCUUUGGGGGUACUCGAGUGGCGAACGGGGGAGUAACACGUGAGUAACCUGCCCUUGACUUCGGGAUAACUUCAGGAAACUGGGGCUAAUACCGGAUAGGAAUCCUUGCUGCAUGGUGGGGGUUGGAAAGCUUCGGCGGUUUUGGAUGGACUCGCGGCUUAUCAGCUUGUUGGUGGGGUAGUGGCUUACCAAGGCUUUGACGGGUAGCCGGCCUGAGAGGGCGACCGGCCACAUUGGGCCUGGGAUACGGCCCAGACUCCUACGGGAGGCAGCAGUGGGGAGUAUUGCACAAUGGGCGGAAGCCUGAUGCAGCAACGCCGCGUGCGGGAUGACGGCCUUCGGGUUGUAAACCGCUUUCAGCAGGGGCGAAGCUUGUGGUGACGGUACCUGCAGAAGAAGCACCGGCUAACUACGUG
RNAcentral lists this ribosomal RNA (465 nucleotides) under uncultured bacterium. Its description in RNAcentral is "partial 16S ribosomal RNA". It matches the Rfam family "Bacterial small subunit ribosomal RNA", at positions 28 to 507 of the family's 1533-position model. The record is from RNAcentral.